UAUGUGGGGGUAACUCGAACCUUUACGAAGCCGGUAGUAUGAAGAACAAGCUAUAUGUGGGAUACUUUUAUAGGUUGUAAACAACUGUAUUGAUGAUAGUGAAUAAAAUGAUUUAAACGCACUUAUGUUCUCUCCAAGGACUUAAUCGAUCUGCUAUACUUUUACUUUCAAAAACAAAAAUAUUUAAAGUGUAGAGAAAAGUUUUGACGUUUCUUAUAUAAGGCCAAGUAUUAUAAUACUUGCUCAGCAAUUGUUUCAUUAAAUGCCUGUUUGAAUGUCGCCAUUGUUCUUUAGGAGUUGUGUUUGACUCGUUUGACUCCCUUACUUGGCUUCUUUGGUUUUAAUGUAAUUUGUAAAGAUUUCUUUGAAUGAAAACGUG
Molecule: non-coding RNA, 379 nt
Organism: Schizosaccharomyces pombe (fission yeast)
Lineage: Eukaryota; Fungi; Ascomycota; Schizosaccharomycetes; Schizosaccharomycetales; Schizosaccharomycetaceae
Source: the annotation of a GenBank genome assembly